ACUAAAAACCAACUCUCAAGACCAAUCAAAGGCUCUUUAGUCCAGUCUAUACUUGAAUAUAUUCUAAAGAACUUUAAGCUAUUUCAUUGAUUUCUGUGUGAUUUUUAAACUGUCCAUUUUGUUUUUCUGAGCUGACGAGACUUUUAAAUCAUAAAAAGAUCAUUUGUAGUUCAGAACCGUUGUUGUAUUCAGUAAAAUGAAUUUCAGAUCAUUUGCCAUUUUGCUAAAGACGAUCGAUCGAUAAUUUAAGCAUAAAUGAUUGAUUUUCAGUUUCCAAUCUCUGUAAUGCCAAGAUUUGUUAACAAAAAUAGCGGUUCAACAGUUAAUUAGAGUUAAUGGUGAAUAACCAUUAAAAUGAAGCAAAAUAUUGAAAAAGGCGCUUCUCUUCCUCUGGUUACUCCCCUUGACUCCCUUGGUUACUCUUCUGGUUACUCUCCUUCAACUAAUAACAAUGGUUUUCAUGUUUAAUGUUAUUAAAGCCUCUUGUUUUUGUAAUGAUGGUUAACUACAAUUAGUAAAAGGUAAUCACAAUUAGUAUCACGAUUCUCAGUCAAUAAGCCAUUAAUCUCCUUGUUUCACCCAAACCAUAAGUUUAUGUAAAGAUCACCUUUGAAAAUGAGUUGAACUCUGUCACAUAUUAAAACAAAACAUGUUUCAUCUUUUACUCUUUGUAUGUUUUCAUUUGGACACAAUCAACUAACCACAUCAUCAUCAUCAUCUUGAUCAUCAUGGAAACUGUUACCUUCAAUGAAUCAACUUUUGGUGUCUCGGUCUACUGAUUUAUUGUCCACUUCACAUUAUCAUUUGCUUGUCUCCAGUCUUUUCAUUAUUUUAUCAUUUCUCUGGCUUUUCACUUUUACCUGAAAACCAUAGCCAAAGUCCAUUCCUCUUUACCUUGAACUGUUAAUCGAUUAGAUUAUUGAUUACAAUCAUGGUGACCAUUAAUAGUUAAUAGUCCUGUUGAAUUUUCAUUUUUACAAACAAAACCAACAAAAUACUUUUUCACAGCUCAAUCCAAUAAGUCAAUUUAUCCCAUGAAUUAUUAUUAAUAUUUUAACUCAAUCUUCUCAAAGUUUCUGAUUUUUUUACCUUUCCGAUUGCAAUUACUUUCAUUAUAUGAUUCCAAACUAAUCUAGCCUUCACUAAUCUCGAACCAUUUACUUCGAUUUCAUCUUUAAUUUGUUAAUUUUAAAUUCCUUAGCCACAACUCGAAAUAGCAAUUACAGAUUAAUGGAAGCAAAUGUGCCCUAUUCGUGAUUUCAUUUGCUCGUGUUUCAAUUGAACCCAAUUUUGGGUUACAGUAAUUGUUAAAUUGAACCAUUGUUACUGAUUUCAGAUUUAUUAUCUAUUUUUAGGUGGAGUUGAUUAUGAAAAUACAUUAAGGUUAUAGUUAAUUUAAUGGAUCAACCUUUAAUAGAAAACAAAAUUGGUUCAUAUUAAAGUCACUUUAAUAAUCAGUUUAUUCAAAUCAUUUUGUCUCUUCACUUUCCUAUCAUUCAACUGUAUUAUUGAGCGCAAGAUUUGGCAUUAAAAGACUUUAACUUAUCAGCUUCAGAUUUUGAUUCAUUUUCCUGGCAAUAAACACACCCAAUGAAAUCUAUUAACUACAAUUUACAUUGGUCUUGUGGGAAUAAAAGUAAAGAUUUUUGGGCCAAAAUUAACACCAAUUGAAGUCUAUUUUUAUUUAUCAAUUUCAAUUUGUUUCUUUGAAAACCUAUCAAUAUAUUGAAUCAAUUCAUUGUUUUCUUUCCUUUCAUUGAGAAACACUUUUCCAGUUUAAUUGACAAUUUUAUUGUUACUUUUACAUGAUUGACCUAUCAUUAUUAUAAUGACAAUGUAUUAACCGGAAACUGGAUCAAUCAAUUGAUUAAAUUGGCUUAUUCAAUAUCAACAAAUUGGCAAAUCUUUGUAAAGCCAAUUCAAGUGACUUGUCGAUGAGAAAUCAAGUUGACAGUUGAACUGAAAAUUGAAUUUGAAUGGAUCGACACGAAACAUGAUGUUAAUCCUUUCAAUUUUAACGGCUUCAUUAUUCAGAUUCUGUUGACAGUACAAAUUAAAGCUGUGACUGAUCAUUAAAAUGCUAUGUAAUGAGGCUUCUAAUCAGGGCGUAGGUUUGAUUCCUAUUGGGUGCGGUUGGGCUGAGUUGCUGCUCUGUUUGGGCGUUUGACUCGUCAUGAAUAUUCAUAUCGAACAUCUUUGGUUCUUUGAUAAGACAAGAUCAAAAGUUGAACAUUUUCAUUGUUUUCAAUGUUAACCAGAAAAAUAAAUUCGAUAAAUUUGUUCUCCUAGAAUCUUCAAAAUCAACUGAUAAACUGAGUAAAUAUGAAGACAAGGAAAGCAAACAAAUGAGUCGAUUGGGCUCAACAGAAGUGGACAAUGAAUAAGCACUGAAAGUGGAAAAUGUUUAAAUUGAUUUACUUACCCGAUGUGAUAAUUUUUUCAUGUUUGAAUUUCUUGUUGGUACCAACGCGAAGGUCUAAGUUACAGGCCGAGUGGUUUGCUUAUUGAACGCCAUUAUCCUGUUGUCCACUGUUGCUUGCAUGAGCAGUGGACAACAAGAGAAAGGUGAACAAUUCACAAUCAACAGCAAAAAAUCAAUUGAAAGAAAUGGAAACAUGUAAAGAAACAUUUCGUUAUUGGAAUAAUUACAAGAAUCCAAAUUAAUGGUUGAUAGUCAAGUAAAGAUACAAAGAUAUUACUUUAAAAUUGUAGUUGAGAAGCGAUGAAGAGUAUUCAGUUGAUGUUCAUUUGAUGAAAUGUCUAACCAAAGUGACCUUUCAGUUAAGAUGGACUCAGGACUUUUGAUGUAAAGAGAGACUCACUUGAUAGCGAGUGGUGAAGAGAGUGAGAGUGAAAGAGUGAGUGAGAGAGAGGUUCGAGUGAUUUGUUUGUGUCUUUCACAAGUUAAACUUAUCAAAUUGCUAUGGAAACAAAUGAAACUAUCUAAAUAAUUAGCAUAUCAUCUUCAUUGAACCUUAAAUUGGACUGAUCGCAUCACUAAUAACAUCCCUGACUAACUGGCCUUUACUCUUGUUUAUCUGUCACUUGAUCUUGUCCAGCUUCUUUAAUUGUCUUUUUAUUCUCAUUCGCCCUUUACCCUGAAGGAUAUGAAUAAUCAUUAACCGCACUUUGAUUUAGAAUGAAAAAUCAGUCGGAAAUUGUGAUCAUCAAACAAUAUUUUAACAAAAAAAGAGAAAGAAUGAAAUUCCAUUGAUUUUUAUUUAAAGUUAUUAGUUGACUUUACGAGGUAAACAGACCAUUAUGUAUCAAUCAACUGAUAUUAAUUAGUCAACUUGACUAGCAAAUGCCACUAUUCAUGUGUAUUCACCUCAUCUGAAUAUGAAUUAUCCUCGUUUCUGUGAUAACCUUUUGUUUCACUGACAUUCCGGUUGAACCUUGGAAACAACAAAAUGAAAACAAAUUGUGGUCAACAUGGAGACAUGAGAAAUUCACUGCUUUUUUAACUGGAAAAUCAUUAAUAAUUGCAGAUUAUUUAUUCUGUGAAAUGAAUUCAUCCUGAAGUUGACUAGUGAUUCAAGGAAUUAACCAUUAAAUCAUCAAUCAACCUAUCAACAGCAUAAUCUGGUCAAUCUGAAUGUUUCAUUGAAAGUGAACAGAACAGUGAAUAAAGAGUUGAUUUUCCGUAAUUUACAACUUUAAUCAAUCUCCAGAAUCUCGAGUAAACUUUUGGUUUCAUCAUGUUCUCUGCAUGACAAUUGUUCGCCAUUGAUACUUUCAUAUUCACAAUGAAUGUUGAAGUGUCAGCUAAUACAAUGAAAGUCAAUGGCGAUGGACAAUAAUCGUUAUGCUUAAGUAAUAUCAACUCUAUGAUAAGUUAUACAGUUUAUCAUCUAACAGUUUGGAUAUAAAAAGAUGAUAAAAUCUGUCAUCCAUGUAAACUCGUAAACCGUUAAGUCGACAAUAAUUGUCCCAUUCAAAUGGCUUGAUUAAUUAUUUAACCAUUAACCUGAGAGUUUCGAGGAUUGUUUUGUUUAUGUUUUCAUCAUUUUACGAUUUACGAGUUGACCUCAACAUUAAAUCCAUAGUUUUGUCAUGUACAACUUGCUGUCCACAACAUUAAAAAUUUGCUUUUAUAUUGACUGGCAAAAAAAUAAUCAAUAAAUCGUGAUAAAAAGGGAACAAAAGUCACAAAGAAUUGGAAAUUAAUAAAACAAAAUUGAACAAAAUCAACAAUCAUUGCUCUCAUUUUAUCCUAGACUUUUCAGCAAAUUGUUGCUCGAUGACAAUUGAAUAAGCAUUUGAUUGCAACUUGUUUCAUGUAUUUAUGCAUUCAUUAUCAUGGGAAUCCUGGCUGAAUACAACUCAUUGUUGGUUCUGUCUGUAAAUUGGACAAAUGUAAGCUACUCUUUCCGUGACUCUGUUAAGUUUCAUGGUAACACGGAAAAACAUUAAUGAUGAUUGAAAUCAAACAGAGAAGUUAAAGUGUUUUUCAAUAUUUUAGAUUAUCUUUUGAAAGAAAUGACAAAACCACAGAAAAGGUCAUUCGAUUUCAUUUGGAACUUUCUUGUUUUAAUUGACUUGUGGCGAAAAUUUCAAAGCUCAAUGGACAUGAAAGGUAAUAACAGUUACUUACGUUUGAGUUUAAUUGAACAAUCAAUUGGAAGCCAUCGAAUCAUUGAAUCGGGUUAAUGUAACAGUAAACUUGAAUGAAAAUGAAAGUUAAAGUGAAGUUGAAUACACAUUUAAAAAACAUUAAGAAACAUAACAAUGAAAUGGACGAGUGAAUGGCUAAUGUUAUGUAAGUCUCUAAAUUUAGUUGUGAUGGCGAGAGAUUUUAUUGUAAUAACUGGGAGUUAGUGAGCAUUGGGUAUAAAGAUCUGGGUGUGUCAAGGUAUGCAAUCCAAUGGAUCUUCAAUCAGUAAAGAUGAGCCCAAAAUUAAGUGAUGAAUAUGUUGCUAACGCCCUGAGUUAAGAUACAAGCUAGAUUAUGCUUGGGUUAGAUUGAAGGGAAGAAACAAAAUCUUUCGUUUUUUUGUCAUCAAGGCUAGGAAGAUGCAGAUGAUAGGAAUGGAGAUAAAGUGAAAUCGAUUUUUGAUUAAUCAUCAUGAACAAUAUUCAAUUUCCUGAAUGUUUAGUCUUUUAGUUCAGUUUUUUAUUCUUUAUUUUAACUAACAAUAUGCAAUAUUUAACUUUGCCGGUCAUUUUAUUCAGAUUAGCUUGUGUCACCAUCUCCAUGGGGAUAACUAGAGAAGCGAAUUGUUUCAAAGUUUAAACUUCAAUUAAAUAUUUAUUAUUAUGAUCAACUAAUGUUUUUAUUUUCAUCCCGUUUGUGGUAAUGUAUCUUGAUAGAUCAAUCUUUUCUGUUCGACAUCGACCCUUCUCGUAAUUAUAGCAGUCUUUUUUAUGCCUUAUCUUUAUUGUUUGAUACUAAUUGGAGACAAAUUCUGGGAAAUUCAAGAGUUUGGAUGGUGAUGUUGCGCUAGCAGGAAAUGUAUAUCCAAGUCACACAUCGAAGAUGUCCAUAUGACGAAAAUGGAAACAAUUGAAACUGUCCUAACCGAUUCUAUCAUACAACAAACAAAUUCAACCCUGAAAGAGAAGACAUAUUUAAGCAGUUAGAAGAGCUUCUAGAUUAAGUAGAGUCUCAGUAUGUCCAUGGACUUGUUCCAAGAGGUCAAUAUACAAGUGGUAAAGGAUCUUCUGCUGUUGGUUUGACGGCUUAUGUUACAAAAGAUGCAGACACUAAUCAAUUGGUACUUCAAACUGGCGCUUUGGUAUUAUCUGAUGGUGGUAUUUGUUGUAUUGACGAAUUUGACAAAAUGACAGAUUCUACUCGCUCAGUUUUACAUGAAGUUAUGGAACAACAAACCCUUUCAAUUACCAAAGCUGGAAUCGUUUGUCAACUUAAUGCUCGAGCUUCCAUUCUCGCUGCUAAUCCAGAAUAGAAAUUGGAAUUAGUGGAAUAAAAACAAAACGAUAAAGUCGAUA
Tetranychus urticae (two-spotted spider mite) is the source of this 5949-nucleotide non-coding RNA. The record is from RefSeq and is a predicted model, not a curated record. NCBI's taxonomy places the organism in Eukaryota, Metazoa, Arthropoda, Arachnida, Trombidiformes, Tetranychidae.